GUACCCUGUUGUGGGGGAUAACGAAUCGAAAGAUUCGCUAAUACCGCAUAAGACCUGAGGGUGAAAGCGGGGGAUCGCAAGACCUCGCGCGACUGGAGCGGCCGAUGUCGGAUUAGCUAGUUGGUAGGGUAAAGGCCUACCAAGGCGACGAUCCGUAGCUGGUCUGAGAGGACGACCAGCCACACUGGGACUGAGACACGGCCCAGACUCCUACGGGAGGCAGCAGUGGGGAAUUUUGGACAAUGGGGGCAACCCUGAUCCAGCCAUUCCGCGUGAGUGAAGAAGGCCUUCGGGUUGUAAAGCUCUUUCGGCAGGAACGAAACGGUGGGGGCUAAUACCCCUUGCUAAUGACGGUACCUGAAGAAGAAGCACCGGCUAACUACGUGCCAGCAGCCGCGGUAAUACGUAGGGUGCGAGCGUUAAUCGGAAUUACUGGGCGUAAAGCGUGCGCAGGCGGUUUCGUAAGACAGAUGUGAAAUCCCCGGGCUUAACCUGGGAACUGCGUUUGUGACUGCGAGACUUGAGUACGGCAGAGGGGGGUGGAAUUCCACGUGUAGCAGUGAAAUGCGUAGAGAUGUGGAGGAAAACCGAUGGCGAAGGCAGCCCCCUGGGCUAGUACUGACGCUCAUGCACGAAAGCGUGGGUAGCAAACAGGAUUAGAUACCCUGGUAGUCCACGCCCUAAACGAUGCCAACUAGGUGUUGGAGAAGGAGACUUCUUUAGUACCGAAGCUAACGCGUGAAGUUGGCCGCCUGGGGAGUACGGUCGCAAGAUUAAAACUCAAAGGAAUUGACGGGGACCCGCACAAGCGGUGGAUGAUGUGGAUUAAUUCGAUGCAACGCGAAAAACCUACCUACCCUUGACAUGCCAGGAAUCCCGCUGAGAGGUGGGAGUGCUCGAAAGAGAGCCUGGACACAGGUGCUGCAUGGCUGUCGUCAGCUCGUGUCGUGAGAUGUUGGGUUAAGUCCCGCAACGAGCGCAACCCUUGUCAUUAGUUGCCAUCAUUUAGUUGGGCACUCUAAUGAGACUGCCGGUGACAAACCGGAGGAAGGUGGGGAUGACGUCAAGUCCUCAUGGCCCUUAUGGGUAGGGCUUCACACGUCAUACAAUGGUCGGUACAGAGGGUUGCCAAGCCGCGAGGUGGAGCCAAUCCCAGAAAGCCGAUCGUAGUCCGGAUCGGAGUCUGCAACUCGACUCCGUGAAGUCGGAAUCGCUAGUAAUCGUGGAUCAGCAUGCCACGGUGAAUACGUUCCCGGGUCUUGUACACACCGCCUGUCACACCAUGGGAGUGGGUUUCACCAGAAGUAGGUAGCCUAACCGCAAGGAGGGCGCUUACCACGGUGGGAUUCAUGACUGGGGUGAAGUCGGAACAAGGUA
RNAcentral lists this ribosomal RNA (1377 nucleotides) under metagenome. Its description in RNAcentral is "bacterial SSU rRNA". It matches the Rfam family "Bacterial small subunit ribosomal RNA", at positions 126 to 1498 of the family's 1533-position model. The record is from RNAcentral.